UUUCCGGUUGAUCCUGCCGGAGGCUAUUGCUAUCAGGGUUUGACUAAGCCAUGCGAGUCGAGAGGUGAAAGACCUCGGCAUACUGCUCAGUAACACGUGGAUAAUCUGCCCUCAGGUGAGGAAUAAUCCCGGGAAACUGGGGCUAAUGCCUCAUAGGAGACGGGUGCUGGAAUGCUCUGUCUCCGAAAGGUCCGCCGCCUGAGGAUGAGUCUGCGUCCGAUUAGGUUGUUGUUGGGGUAACGGCCCAACAAGCCUUUGAUCGGUACGGGUUGUGGGAGCAAGAGCCCGGAGAUGGAUUCUGAGACAUGAAUCCAGGCCCUACGGGGCGCAGCAGGCGCGAAAACUUUACAAUGCGAGCAAUCGUGAUAAGGAAACCCUGAGUGCCUGUCAAUGCAGGCUGUUCUGGUGUCUAACACACACCAGGAGAAAGGGCGGGGCAAGACCGGUGCCAGCCGCCGCGGUAAUACCGGCUGCUCGAGUGAUAGCCACUUUUACUGGGCUUAAAGCGUUCGUAGCUUGGUCGUUAAGUCUCUGGGGAAAUCUUUUGGCUCAACCAAAAGGCGUCUCAGGGAAACUGACGAUCUUGGAACCGGGAGAGGUAAGACGUACUUCGGGGGUAGGAGUGAAAUCUUGUAAUCCCCGAGGGACGACCGAUGGCGUAGGCAUCUUACCAGAACGGCUUCGACAGUGAGGGACGAAAGCUGGGGGAGCAAACCGGAUUAGAUACCCGGGUAGUCCCAGCCGUAAACGAUGUGCGUUAGGUGUGUCAGUGAUCACGAGUCGCUGAGGUGCCGAAGGGAAACCGUGAAACGCACCGCCUGGGAAGUACGGUCGCAAGGCUGAAACUUAAAGGAAUUGGCGGGGGAGCAC
This 870-nucleotide ribosomal RNA is filed under the name uncultured archaeon. RNAcentral describes it as "bacterial SSU rRNA". It matches the Rfam family "Archaeal small subunit ribosomal RNA", at positions 1 to 879 of the family's 1478-position model. The record is from RNAcentral.